RNAcentral lists this ribosomal RNA (1402 nucleotides) under uncultured bacterium. RNAcentral's name for it is "16S ribosomal RNA". It matches the Rfam family "Bacterial small subunit ribosomal RNA". The record is from RNAcentral.
AGAGUUUGAUCCUGGCUCAGGAUGAACGCUAGCGGCAGGCUUAACACAUGCAAGUCGAGGGGCAGCGGGGAGGAAGCUUGCUUUCUCCGCCGGCGACCGGCGCACGGGUGAGUAACACGUAUGCAACCUGCCCCUGUCAGGGGGACAACCCGCCGAAAGGCGGGCUAAACCCGCGUACAUGCCACCGGGGCAUCCCGGAGGCAGGAAAGGCUUCGGCCGGACAGGGAUGGGCAUGCGGCGCAUUAGGCAGUAGGCGGGGUAACGGCCCACCUAACCGACGAUGCGUAGGGGUUCUGAGAGGAAGGUCCCCCACACUGGUACUGAGACACGGACCAGACUCCUACGGGAGGCAGCAGUGAGGAAUAUUGGUCAAUGGUCGGGAGACUGAACCAGCCAAGCCGCGUGAGGGAGGAAGGUACAGAGUAUCGUAAACCUCUUUUGUCAGGGAACAAAGGCGGGGACGUGUCCCCGGAUGAGUGUACCUGAAGAAAAAGCAUCGGCUAACUCCGUGCCAGCAGCCGCGGUAAUACGGAGGAUGCGAGCGUUAUCCGGAUUUAUUGGGUUUAAAGGGUGCGCAGGCGGUCUGUUAAGUCAGCGGUCAAAGCCCGGGGCUCAACCCCGGCCCGCCGUUGAAACUGGCAGUCUCGAGUUGGAGAGAAGUAUGCGGAAUGCGCGGUGUAGCGGUGAAAUGCAUAGAUAUCGCGCAGAACUCCGAUUGCGAAGGCAGCAUGCCGGCUCCACACUGACGCUGAGGCACGAAAGCGUGGGUAUCGAACAGGAUUAGAUACCCUGGUAGUCCACGCAGUAAACGAUGAAUGCUGGCUGUCCGGGGGGACUGACCCCUGGGUGGCGAAGCGAAAGCGAUAAGCAUUCCACCUGGGGAGUACGCCGGCAACGGUGAAACUCAAAGGAAUUGACGGGGGCCCGCACAAGCGGAGGAACAUGUGGUUUAAUUCGAUGAUACGCGAGGAACCUUACCCGGGCUCAAACGGGGAGUGGCGCAGGCAGAGACGCCUGUUUCCCACGGGACACUCCCCGAGGUGCUGCAUGGUUGUCGUCAGCUCGUGCCGUGAGGUGUCGGCUUAAGUGCCAUAACGAGCGCAACCCCCGCGUGCAGUUGCUAACAGUCAACGCUGAGGACUCUGCACGGACUGCCGGCGCAAGCCGCGAGGAAGGCGGGGAUGACGUCAAAUCAGCACGGCCCUUACGUCCGGGGCGACACACGUGUUACAAUGGGUGGUACAGCGGGAAGCCAGGCGGCGACGCCGAGCGGAACCCGAAAUCCACUCUCAGUUCGGAUCGGAGUCUGCAACCCGACUCCGUGAAGCUGGAUUCGCUAGUAAUCGCGCAUCAGCCAUGGCGCGGUGAAUACGUUCCCGGGCCUUGCACUCAACGCCCGUCA